This 253-nucleotide ribosomal RNA is filed under the name uncultured bacterium. RNAcentral describes it as "partial 16S ribosomal RNA". It matches the Rfam family "Bacterial small subunit ribosomal RNA", at positions 524 to 776 of the family's 1533-position model. The record is from RNAcentral.
UACGAAGGGGGCUAGCGUUGCUCGGAAUUACUGGGCGUAAAGGGCGCGUAGGCGGCACUGUUAGUCAGGCGUGAAAGUCCUGGGCUCAACCUGGGAACUGCGCUUGAUACGGCAGAGCUAGAGGAUGGAAGAGGGUCGUGGAAUUCCCAGUGUAGAGGUGAAAUUCGUAGAUAUUGGGAAGAACACCGGUGGCGAAGGCGGCGACCUGGUCCUUGACUGACGCUGAGGCGCGAAAGCGUGGGGAGCAAACAGG